Molecule: ribosomal RNA, 492 nt
Filed under: Limnonectes sp. HJ12_165
Lineage: Eukaryota; Metazoa; Chordata; Amphibia; Anura; Dicroglossidae
Description: partial 12S small subunit ribosomal RNA
Rfam family: Bacterial small subunit ribosomal RNA
Source: RNAcentral
AUGCCCCACCGUAAAAUAUUAACUUACACUAACAACGCCAGGGUAUUACGAGCCUCAGCUUAAAACCCAAAGGACUUGACGGUGUCCCACCCAACUAGAGGAGCCUGUUCUAUAAUCGAUAACCCCCGAUAUACCCAACCCCACUUUGCAAAUCAGCCUGUAUACCUCCGUCGCAAGCUUACCAUAUGAAUGCUAAUAGUAAGUUUAAUGGUUAUACACCAACACGUCAGGUCAAGGUGCAGCUCAUGAUGGGGCAAGCAAUGGGCUACAAUUUCUAACAUAGAAUACACAGAAUGCUAUAUGAAACACAGCAUGAAGGUGGAUUUAACAGUAAAAAUGAAAUAACGUGUCAUUUUUAACAAGGCCCUGGGACGUGUACACACCGCCCGUCACCCUCUUCAACUAUACCCAACAUGUCUAUUACAAUCCAAUAUAAUCUAGAAGAGGCAAGUCGUAACAUGGUAAGUGUACCGGAAGGUGCGCUUGGAUUAC